GGUCAAAGCCAGCAGCUGCGGGAUCGUCACACCCUUACCCUUUAAUCCCAGAGAUGCUGAGCCGGCUUCCAUCCCCUCGCUGAGCUAGCCAGCUGUCUGACUGCUUGAAAAUGGCGGAAGAGGAAGAGGGCGGCGUGGAGGAGGGGGACGUGUUCCUAGCGUUUGCCCAGGGUCCCAUUCCUCCUCGGGGGCCCGUGCGGCGGGCUUUGGACAAGAUCUUCCUCGCCUUCUUGGUCCUCUUCCUGACUCUGCUGAUGCUGGAGGCUGCUUACAAACUGCUGUGGCCCCUGCCAUGGGCCAAGUUUCGGGACUGGCUCCUGAAGACCCCUGAGGAGGAGGCAGCUCUGGAACUCUGAGCAUCUUCAUAGACCACCUGUCCUUGCUACUGAGCCCUGCUCACUCAAAAGAUUUAUUAUAUUUACGUACACUGUGGCUGUCUUCAGACACCCCAGAAGAGGGCAUCAGAUCUCAUUAAGGAUGGUUGUGAGCCACCAUGUGGUUGCUGGGAUUUGAACUCAGGACCUCCAGAACAGCAGUCAGUGCUCUUAACCGCUGAGCCAUCUCACCAGCCCUUAAGAGUGUAUUUUAUUUCCUUUUGAUUUCCUGCAAGUAUCAUGGUUUAAGUUUUUUUUCUGGCUGUAAGACUCCAUUGUAUGUCCGAACCACAUUUUGUCUGUUUUAUGGGCCAGUUGGCUGCUUCUAUUCUUUUGCCUAUUGCAAUUGCUACAGAAAUAAACAUGGAUGUGUA
This 748-nucleotide long non-coding RNA is filed under the name Mus caroli (Ryukyu mouse). RNAcentral describes it as "lncRNA (MGP_CAROLIEiJ_G0005201.1)". Lineage: Eukaryota; Metazoa; Chordata; Mammalia; Rodentia; Muridae. The record is from RNAcentral.